This is a long non-coding RNA of Centrocercus urophasianus (Greater sage-grouse), 5028 nucleotides long. RefSeq lists it as uncharacterized. The transcript is spliced from 8 exons. Lineage: Eukaryota; Metazoa; Chordata; Aves; Galliformes; Phasianidae. The record is from RefSeq and is a predicted model, not a curated record.
GGCAAAACAGGAGGCUUCAGUCUUCCAACAGGAAAGAAAAUGCUUUGCUUUUGCCAGCUGUUGUUGUUUUCCUUACUCUGUUGUUUCCUCCCAGUGUGCUGUGACUUCUUUGUUCUCUGGAGAAAACAAACUUUGUGGGGAGAGCAGCCUUUAUUAAUGAAAGCAAACAGCCGCUGCUUUGUUAUUGUCUGUAUGAUGCCCUGAUAAUGUUUUGCAAACAUAAUUCCUGCUAUGCUGGAAGGAGUCUCAUGACUGGACGUUGGGAGAGCAGCGAUGGCUUGUGGAGGUGAUUGGGCUUCUGGUAGUUUGGAUAUAUGUGCUGCAUUUCAUUGUGCAAUGAUCGAAAGCAGAACUCCAGGAGAUCAAGAAGGCAACUAAAUAACGUGUUUUCAAAGGGACGUAAACUGAAAAAGCAAGUGCCAUUGCCAGCUGUAAACAUUGCCUUCUCCUCUCUUUGGCUGAAAAAAGUAGUACCUCUAAUGACUAAACAAACAAGAUUUUUACCAUCGUUACUGGGAGGGGUGUGAAACAAAGGAAACCUGCACAGCUGAGCAGGCCCCAUGUUGGCACAGCACAGUGUACAGUUGGAUUACCACAGAGGAGUCAGUCAGGUUUGCUUAGGGAAGCCAAUGGAAGCCCUCCUUCGCCCUGAGGCCUUGACCCCUUGGUAAAGUGUGCAAUGACUUGAAUUUUGUAGGACAUCUUAUACUCGGGUUGCUUUGAUUCAGAGCCUGAGUUCCCCAUACACAUCUAUUUCUGUGGGGAGGCAAAGGGAGAAGAAGAUGACAACUUAUCUGCUAAUUUGGACCAUGCUGUUCAGGAAGCGUUUCUAUGCCGUUGUGCUCCAGGAUGUGCUGAGGAGCCUCAGCAUCUAUGUCUACGUUGGCCUGCAUGCUGGGCUUUUCAUUCUCCCACUUUGCAAAGCCUUUGUUCUUCCCAGCUUUGCCGUGGAACUUGGAUUUCAUUUUUGGGAAAGUGUGAGACCCUGAAUCACUCCAGCCCGGUUCGUGCCACAGCGGUUCCGUCUGCGUUGCUUGGCUGGCUGUCGCCCUCUGCAGCCGCACUGAAAUCUUCCGGGAGGAGCCGGUGACAAGAGUGAUGGCUCUGCCGUCGAGGUCCUGCUGUUCUGCAUCGACGCUGGGAAACUCAAACACUUCAUCCUGGGCUGAACAAGAAGCUCAGCCACUGAUGCAUUGCAUGGACAGCAAGCCUGCAGUGCAGGCAUGGGGAUGUACAUGAUAUGGACAGUGCUGCCAGCAGACCUUUUCCUGACCCCAUGGUAUGUAUUUCAGGAUGUCUCCCUGCUAGGACAAGGACACUCGGCUUUCCAAGAUGCCACUUCUUGUUGGCACAAACUGACACCUUGCAGAUCCCCUGAAGAUCCCAGGGGCUGCUGGGGGAGGGGGGCCUUCAGCACUGGUGUUCUCCUGCUACAGUGAGGCUUUGUGGGAUGCAGCAACCACUUGCUGGUCACAGCCAGUACGGGCUACUCAAGCAAAAUCUGGCUGCCACUUCAGUGAAAAAUACAGUUGACUUCUGCUAAAACCCACCACCUGAAUUGUGAAAAAUCCAUGCAGUAUAUUUAUUUACCUUUACAUUUGUAGCCUUGUUUGAUUAUACCCCAGAGCUGCAAAGACAAAAAAAAAAAAAAAAAAAAAAGUCAAGGAAUCAGAAAAGAAAGCCGGACGGAAAGCGAGGUCACAAUGAGGAAGUACCAAUGGCUACAGAAGCACAAACAGGAUACAACUGCUCUUAACACCCUUCCUGUCAGGCAGACCUCCUCCUCUAAAUGUGAUAAGCUUUGUGUGGCUUCCCCCUUACUUCUGCCUGCAGUGGGACUACUGGAGAAGCAGCGGCACAGCUGAUGCGUACUGCCAGGAAUGGGUAAAAGAAUCACUGUCCUAUCAGGCUUACAAAAUCCAGCAAAGCACAUUCUGCUUCUGGCUUGUUUUGAGCCAUCUCAGGGAUCAUUCCCAUGACACAUCUGGCCUCCAGCCACAUGAAUGGGCCUGUACUCUACAAGCAUGGCAGACAAAAACACCACUGGGGACAAAGUCACUUUGUGGCUUUGGAGCUGGUUCCCAAACAUGGACUGAUCCGUUCACCUGACUUCUUCCAUUAAGAACGGUCGAAGCCCAAAACAGACAGACAAUUCACUGAACUCCUCUUUGCCUCCUCCCAGAGGCUGUCCUUAUUGAAUGUUGGCCUUCCAUGUGGCAGCGUGUGCGUGUUCUGCUUUUGGGAAGCUGUCACUGUGAUGUGAACUUGGAAGUAGAAAAAAAGAUCCCCUGCAAACUGUUAUCUGUACACUCAGAAGAAAGGUAACUACAACAGUGGCAUUAUAAAAACAAAUAUUUUCACUCUGAACAGCAGAGGGAGGAGAGUAUAGUCCAGUUCUAAAGGAAAAAGAUGAGAGACUGUAGUGUUUGUUUAUCCUGAAUUCCCUCAAAACAUAAAUAGGGAAGGUGAGCACAACUAGACAGUUGAAGCUGCAUGUGGCUCCUCUAUGAAAGUAUGCAGUGUGUGGGAGAAAUGUGCUGAGUAAAAGAAUGGCCAACAGGAAGAGCCACAGUCCAUAUGGAGCACAAAAGAAAGAGUAAAAAAACCCUGCAUAUUGUGUAAGACAGAACUGCUUGCGUUUUUCCAAUUAGAGACAAGGAUAUUGUGUGGAACCAUAUAAAAAGCCUUGCUGAAGUCCAGGUAGAUUACAUGAGUUGCUCUUCAUCUACUACUGCCAUCCCUCCUUUGCAGAAGGCUACCAAUCUGGUCUUUUCCCGCAGAUGCUGUAGAUGUGCAGUGACUGUGGAGCUGUGGUUGGCCCCUCCUGGAAAAGCCACCCCUGGCUAUGCUUUCCUCAGCUCUUUGCCAGAUCCACUUGAUGGGGUGUGGAUUACUUUUCCUGUUGUCAAAGCUCUGCUCUGUUCCCUCUGGAGAGCUUUCUCCUUAAUGUAACAUGAAUCCUGACCUAAAACUUUGAAUCCACCUGACACGGCUCUAUGACAAAGCUGCCUUCAGCCAGGCCCAGGGUAAGAGGAUCUGUGCAAAUGUGGACGGCCAAGCUGGAGGGGAUGGCUGCUCACUCACCCUGACAUGGGGUGCAAGUCAAGCUGUGGGUCGGAACUGAGACUGGUAGCGAGAGUAUUGAUUUCACUCUGUGAAUGGCAUUAGAUUGUAGCUUGACCUUUAAAGUUCAUCUUGUUUUAAUAUUAGAUGUUUGACUGGUACUGGAGCCAGUGGGCUGUCACAUCCAUUCAUCCUGCUGCAUGGUCAGUUCACAUUUUUUUGACGGUGAAUCACUGCAUCAGUUCAAAACAGUUUCCACCCAUGGUUGGUUGGAGAGUGCUGAAAUGCACAACAAACACACAGUGGCUGGUGCCUGUCCUGUCAGCCCAGCUCAUCCACAGGACAAUGCUAGUGAAUGCAGUGAGCUGGCAGGAAAAAUGACCUUAUUUCCAUUUCCUCCCCAAUCCCUUACUUAUUUUUGUUCCUGUGCCAGUUGUAAUCAUGAAGACAUGGAAAAAGCCAGCAAGCAAACUGAUAAGGGAGAAAAAUAUCUGGUAAAGAGGACAUUGCAGGACACUCCUCAGCCCAACUUGGCGACGGAAGCCUUCCAAGCAUGAACUAACUGUCACGAAUGCAAUGACGUCUUCCUAAGGCAGCAGGCAGCCCAAAACAAUAGGCUCAGGCCAGUUCCCAAUGUUCUUUCUUCUGGAGUGGAGCUGCAGAGCCUGCCUGCAGGCUUCUGAAUCAGCACUGACUGUCAUCUUUGAGGCUUCUGCAGUUCCAGUGGAAAUGGGCAGAAUUCCUUCUUCCCCAGCCUUGAUCAGCAGCUGCGAUAGGGAACACGAAGGUCCUGGUGUGAUGGGUGCCAAGCAGAAGUGAGGGAAAAGGGCCAGUCUGAGAUGAGUGGUGACCCACUCCUUCCACAGCACAGAGCUGUAAUUGCCCAACUUUACUGGCAAUGAAGGAAGCAUGAGGGAGCCAGAAUAACUGUGGCAAAGGGAACAGUUGUGGUCAAAUUACAUCCAAUGCGGACAGGAGACUCAUCAGCGAAAUUCCAGGUAUUCAGACUGAAUUAGUGCUGACUGUGGAACUACUCAAUAUUGCCCAUCAUCCUCCAUUGAAACCACACACAUGCAGUCUUCAAGCUGGUCUCCAAAAGUGAUGAACUAUUCUUAAAGUCAGGCAAUCUAGCAGAGAAUCUCUGUGAGUUGAUUCUUCUCCACUGAGAGAAACCCAAGCCCAGUCCCCUAGGAUACCUUGCCAAGAUCCAAGUAUUGUGCCGGUGAGACCUGAACUGCAGAACUCAUCAGACCUUCAAGAAGGGAUGUUCUGCUCAAUAUCUGUACAUUUGGUUGUCCACCAUACCUUUGUGACUUCCGAAGACAGAUGAGAAUGAGUCUCUUUCAGGCGAGAAAUAGAGCUAUGGCUAAGACCUCCCACAACUGCCAUCAGUGUGUUGAAGUUCUGGAGAUGGAGGAGCUUCUGUAGAAAAGAUGGAUCAUGAAAAAAUAAAAAUAAGGGUCUUGCUGUAUCACUUACAACUUCAGUAUUUGAAUGCCAGGUUAAUACUAAGGCAUGCAUGAUGAAUAUGAUUACUACUUCUAUGGAAUCAUUUUUCCCCACGAUUUACUCAACACCUGAGACAUUUUAUUUUGUGCAGUUUUACUUGACAUCCUCAUACAAUGAUACUGUAUAGGAAUGACCUAGUGCUACAAGUAAGAAGCAUAUAAAAAGGAGUUUUCACUUCACUCCAAUACCUGAUCAAGAACAUUACUGAUGUAAAGAGCAAAAUCUGGGCGCUGCUGAAGUCAACAGGAGCUCCUAACAAGAGUCUGAACUGCAACUCAAGAAGCUAACUAUGCAUCAGUUUUCCUAUGUCUUCCUCCUACAUCAACUGAUCAAUUCGUAGCACAAGCAGCUAGUUCUGCUAAAUCUUGCUUAUUCUGAUAUUGUUCAUUCCUGUGUGUUCAUGGAUAUUGUUCCACACGGAUGGCUACCACUAGAAUUAGAUUUCUUGAGAACUUC